CCGAUGUCCGGAUAGGUCGAAUAAUCAUAAUCGCAACAUUCAAAACCUACAUGAAUAUGGUUACUGUAUAAUUCAUCUUUUUGACCCAAGUGUUUAGGAUGACUCAAGGUUAAACUGUCAACCUUGAUCAGAUCAUCCGAAUCGUGCUCAACUCAAACAGUCCUGUGACUCCUCACAAGGACUACCCUAGCCAAGGUUUUGCUAAAUUGAAAUACGACUGUACACAGCUCCUAAACUGGAGUGGUCAAUCCCAUCUUAACACACGCACCGACAAGUCAAGUAUUUGACUACACCCAGCAGCCUUCCGUCACUAAAUUAAAAAUUCAGGUAGUCCAGUGCCUAAGUGCAGUGAGUUGCUUGCAAAUCACCGUGGUGGUC
This 378-nucleotide long non-coding RNA is filed under the name Elaeis guineensis (African oil palm). Its description in RNAcentral is "long non-coding RNA (EGUI_LNC046291)". The record is from RNAcentral. Lineage: Eukaryota; Viridiplantae; Streptophyta; Magnoliopsida; Arecales; Arecaceae.